RNAcentral lists this long non-coding RNA (1243 nucleotides) under Mus musculus (house mouse). RNAcentral's name for it is "long non-coding RNA chrX:138918057-138919300". The record is from RNAcentral. Lineage: Eukaryota; Metazoa; Chordata; Mammalia; Rodentia; Muridae.
UGCAAUGUUGUAUGGGUUCAUGCAUCGUUUUAAAAUAGUGUGUUUUGCCUUGCUUACCUAUACAAGGGGUGUACUUAUUAUUUGUUUAUUUAUUUAUUUAUUUACUUAUUCUCUAUUAAUGUAUGAUUUAUUAUAUAUGGCCUGCAUAACUCAAUCCUCUUUAUCUCCAGAUCUAGCUUGUCUGUCACUAUGAUUGUCCCCCAAGCCUUCUAAUGGCCACAUUCCUUGUGGCUUCAGCCUUGGUAUGUGACACUGCCAUGUGUACUCCUAAUCUAUAUUAGGGUCAGGAUUAGAUAGUCUUUGAAAACAGUCGUGGCCGAGGCGAUCUGAAAUAGUACAUGACCCAAACACUAUAUUUGAAUUACAUUAAGUUUAUAUUUAAAUAUACCUUCCAGUUUUCCCAGCCUUCACUAAGAAGGCAAACCCUGAGUUCAGCUUCCCACUUUACCAAGUCCCUUAGCGGCUGUGUGGAAGCCAUUUUGCCUUCAAGUGCCCAAGCUUUGAAAUAUCCAGCACACCAUCCAUUGUAAGUAGAAGAGGGCCUCAGCUUGACAUUGUAAUUCAAUUUAUUUUUUUCUGAGCCACGUUCCCUGUCUCUAGGCCAGUGUUUUUUUUUCCCCCCCAUAGGUUUGUGCAGAGACAACAGGGUACAAGAGUUGAGAAUCUCCUGGGUAUUUUAAAAGAAUCGUCUAAGGAAAUUCUGAUUUUAUAAUUUCAUAUUAGCCAUAAAGAUUUAUUUUUAACAGGAUUCUCUCAUGGAGGGAAAAUCUCUGCAUGGAGUAUGAGCUAGUAACCUAUAAGGACUUUUCCUUUCUAAGCUCCAGUUCUAUUGCGAAGCUCAUUCUUGUUACUGACUGAGUUUCACUCUAGAACUUAUCCCAUUAGAGCCGACAGUUUAGAGACUACCCAUUAGUUCUUUUUUAUAUAUAUAAAAUUACAAUUUGUAAGAUUAAAAAUGGGGAAGGAGAAUCCUGUGCCGUCUCCCUCUGCGCACUUGGAGUGUUUAGUCCCUCCUGUGUUGUGUAACCCGGGGAACGCCUUCCUCCUGUUUAAGUAAAUUUAAGCCCACCUGGAACUUCUGGCUACCUUUGACCAGGUGCUGCCUUUCUUCCUCCUUUCCGCAGGCGCAUCUUCCUUGACCAGCAGACAUUGCCUCCUAGUGGUUCUUGUGCUUCCUUCUUCCACACCCUUAAGGAAAUCAGCCAGUGGGGGGCUCACUCUUGCCUUCUCCCUAGUCAGAAGG